AGAGAUCACCAACUCCUCCACUGAAACCAACUGCAGCAUCCUUCCGGAGAUGGAAGCAAGAGUGUUGGGGAAGGAGGUUCUCAUUGAGAUCCACUGUGAGAAAGAAUAUGGUGUUGAGCUCAAAAUAUUGGACCACCUUGAAAAUCUUCAUCUCUGUGUCACCGGAAGCAGUGUCUUGCCAUUUGGGAAUUCAGCUCUCUGCAUUACCAUUACAGCUCAGGUAUCUUAUAUCUUAUGCCUCAAUCCAGUUUACUUUCUUGCUCUAAUCUUUAAGAAAGAAUAUGGAUAGCUUUGUACGAAUCACCUAUAAUAUGUUGUCUCCACGAGUUAUCAUUCUCGAUGCAAGAGAAUGGGUUGGAGAUGUUACAUCUACCAGAGAUUAGAAUCAUAAUCUCAUGCAAACCUUUUUUUAUAAAUCAUUCUUAUUAGCUGAUUCUAUGAGAUUGAAACUUCUAACUUUCUUAAUAAUGUUACUUGAUGAAUAAUUGUAUAUUAAUCAGUAUUAUAUUGUGAUUAUGAUAUAUAUUGAAAUAGAGUAUGUAAGAGUUUGGUGUUAAUUAACUGCAGAUGGAUGAGGAGCGGCAAAUGACAGUGAAUGAAGUAGUGAGAAACCUUAGAGAAGUGCUCUCAGUGUCUCAUUUGGUGAGCGAUAGUGAUCCGUACUAGUGUAUCAAAGAAGGGGUUGUAGUGUGUUGAAAUUUCAGAAUUUUGGUUUUGUUGGUGUUUAUGAUUUUGGUCGGUUUUCGUGUUGAUCAUGUAUGAUUAAGGCUUGCUUUAUUGUGUAUGCUGCUGCUGGUUUUAUGAAGAAAGAAAGAGAGGGAGAAAGAAUAGUGUUUUUUGUUUUAGUAAAGAAUAAAGUUUCCUUGUAAGACACAUGUACCAAGAUCUAAGAGACUCCCUCAUUUCAUGCAAGUUUGUGAAGAAGAAAAAUAUGUAUAUCAUAAUUGAUUCUAUUAAAUAUUUUAUACUUUUUCAAUAGUUAAAAUAUCCUCACACUAAAAGAAAAUCAUGAAAUAGAAACCAAUUUUUAGACACCAAAGUAAUUAAUUACAAUAGAAACUAAAAUAGAGACCAUUUUAGAAACUAAAAAAAAAAUUGGUUUCUAAAUUAGCUUCUAUUAAUUUCUAUUUUUUGUUAAAUAGUUUCUAAAUUGGUAUCUAAUUAGCAACUAAGGUUUUAACUACCAAUUAUUUAGUUUUUAAAUUUGGUAGCAAAAACCUUGGUUGCUAAUUAGAUAUCAAUUUAUAAACUAUUUAACAUUAAUAGAAAAUAAUAGAAACAAAUUUAGAAAUCAAAUUUCUUUUUAAUUUCUAAAAUGUCUCUAAUUUAGUUACUAUUGCAACUAAUUAUUUUGGUUUCUACAAAUUGGUUUCUAUUUCAUGAUUUUAUUGUAGUUUGAUAAUUAAUCAGAAGUAAUUUUGAAUAAUAAUAUUAAUAAUAAAAAUGGUUAAAUAUAAAUACUUGUUAGUUUAUUUGUAUAUGACAAAUCAAAUAUUAUAACAUUCACAUGAAAUAUUUUAACAUAUUCAUUGUAAAAAUUUGUUUAUCGGAUAAAAAGAAAUUUAUAAAUAAUCAUUUUAACAGUUUAUAAUAUUCAGGAGGUAACAAAGAAAAAUAUAUUUAACCCUAAUAAAAAUAUUAAUAAUAAAUAAUUUUUCUUUUCUUUUAAACAAAUAUUAAUUAAUGUAUCAAAAUAAUUGACUAACAUUUUAACAAUGAACAAUUUGGAAUUCUAUGUGAUGAGGCAAAGUGAUUUGAAGACCAUAGGGUUCAAGUAUAUUGAAAUGCAACAAAAUGGAAUGUGAAGUAAAUUAUUCACAAAAUUAGUCAAGGAAUGUUGAAAUUUUUUAAACACAUUUUUUUUAAACAUACUCUUCAUUAUUAAAAAAAUAUUGAAAAUUACAAAAUAUUUAUUCUUUUACCAUCUUCUAGAACAUAAGUUUAUCUGAUGUUGUUAAGAGACAAUAACUAUUUUUUCACCUUCUUUCAAGGUAAAAUUUUACUGUUCAUAUUCUAAAACCCGCCCAAUAAUAUUACUUUAGCCCAUUAACUUUAUAUAAUUUAUUGUUUGGAUUGGGUUCACAGAAGGAAAGAAACUAGGGAAAAAGUAAAAUAAUAUAAAAUAAUAUUAUUUUGAUUAAGAGAAAGACUGAAAAACAAAAAUUAAAGGAAUAAAAAAUUAUAAAAGAUUUUGACUGAAAAAUUAUGUAAAAAUAUAGUUUAAUAUUUUAAAUUAAAUACUUAUUUUUUUAAAUAUAUUUAUAAAGCAUAAAAGUUUUACUUAAUUGUGAUAAAAGAUUAUUUUGAGAGAAUUUUUUAUUGCAUAAUUAAUAUAUUAAAUUGUUAUUAAAGAUGUGUAUAUUUCAUUAUGUAUUUAUGAAUAUAAUUUAUUGCACACCUCAUUAAUAUUAUAUAAUUAAUUUUAUUUAAAUUUUCGAAUUUUAAUAUAUUGAAAUUGUAAAUUACAUGUUUCAUUACACCAAUUAAAAAGUGUAACCUUAGAUUCCUUACAUCAGUCUAAAAAAUUAAUGGGCAAAUAAUCUUACAUCUAUAUAUUUUUUAUUUAUUUCGGAAUAUGCACCUCUGUAUAAUGUUUUUACUUUAGCAUCUAAAAUUAAUAAAAUGGUUACAAUAAAUUAAUUUCAAAAAAUAUAACUCAGUUAGUUUUGGUUUGCUCAAUUUUUUUCUUAUUAUGUAAUUUUAGUUUAUAAAUUUAUUUGCAAAGUCAUAUUUACGAGUAAAAAUAAAUAUUUUUCUUUUAUUCUAGCAUUUUUACUGUAUUAAUUAACUUCUAAAGUAUUCAAAACAAAUCAAGUUAAACUUGACUAAUAUAAAAAAAAUUCCAACUAUUAGUAACAUUGUACCAAUAUCUAUAAUAACAAAAGUAACAUUUUAUUUUUUUCAUCUUAAUAAAUCUCAAUAAUACAUAAAUAAAAUUAAGAAAACAAAUUCUUAAAACUUUUUACUUUCUUCUUAAAUCAACUUACCAAAGAGGGGUAAUAAUUUGAUAUACCCGUUUCUUUCUCUUUAAAUAUAAAGUAAAUAUACGUAAACAAAUACAGGAAUUGAAAAAUCUUGGACAAGGAAAUUGCAUGAUAUCAAACUCUGAGUUUGGUUAUAAAAAAAAGAAAGAAAAAGAAUAACUUUGAAUUGAUAAGAUAAUCAAUAUAACAUAAUUAAUUAUGUUAUUAAAAUAUAAAAUAAAGUUGAACUAUAUUUUAUUAUUAUAAUCUAUCAUAAUGUUUUUGUUAUCUUUUCUAAUUAUAAUUAUAAUAAAUAAAAUUAGUAAUUGUUGGAUAUCUCACCUUGUUUAAAAAUUAAAAUAAUUGCUAUAAGAAAACACAUAUGAAAUAGAAACUAAUUUUAGAGAAAAAAAAAUUAGUUGUUAUAAUAACUAAAUUAGAUAACAUUUUAAAAACUAAAAACAAAAUUUGGUUUCUAAAUUAGUUUCUAUUAUUGUUAAAUCGUUUCUAAAUUGGUAUCUAACUAACAACCAAAGUUUUAACUACCAAUUAUUUAAUUUCUAAAUUUGGUACAAAAAAACCUUGUUGGUUGCUAAUUAAAUACCAAUUUAGAAACAAUUUAACAAUCAUAUAAACUAAUUUAGAAACCAAUAAAAAAAUUGUCUAUAAAAUGGUCUCUAAUUUAGUUACUAUAACAACUAAUUAUUUUUUUCACUAAAAAUUAGUUUUUAUUUCAUGAUUUUCUUGUAGUAAAUAGUGUAAACCUCUUUUUAUAUAAACUAGUUUUAGUUUUAUGAAAUUUAGUUAAAAUUAAUUUGUAUUAGUCUCAUUUAGAAUGCAUCAUAACAGUUAUUUAAAUUUAAAGUUUAUUUUUUAAUAAUAAUAACGAAUAUUUUUUUAUUAACUUUUUUUUAACUCUUUUUUCUAACACACCAUAAAAAGUUUUACAUAUACAGUGCGGUGCAUAGUAAAAGAGAAAUCAACAUAGGUUAUUAAAUAUUUAAAUAAUUAAGUAGUCUUCGUCAUAUUUUUUUUUCUCUUCAAUAAAAAAAAUAACACAUCACUCAGUUUAAAAAAAAUAUUAAAACUUUUUUCUAAUUAAGUUAAUUUUCUAAUAUGUGUUAAUUUUAACUGAAAUUAAGGAUUAUGAAAAUGGCGAAUUUUGAGGUCAAAUAUUAAUGAUGAGAGUGAGGUGGCAAAGACAUGUGUAAAAGAUGAGGAAUUUGAAGCUUGGAUUCUUCUUGUUUGUUUGGAUAUAUAUGUGAAUAUGGCAGAAGGUAUAAUAUAUAAUUUUUCUGUCUUUUUCUACCUUUAAUAAAAAAAACAUGAACAUAGUUAGGUUUAUCAAAAGGCAAAAUACAAACAAACUCUAAUUUGUGGUCGAUAGAACCAAUCUUUUGGUACCAGGAGAAUUGUUUUUAUUUGAUCCAUAGAAAAAGGACAAACAAAAAAGAAUUUUUUGAGUAAGUAAAAGUUAAGAACAAUACAAAAGUUCAUUAUUGAGUUAAGACUACAAGAACCUUCAAGCAGAAAACGUGAAGAAAUAGGGCCUCGAGGGUUAAUUAUAUGUCAACUUUUUAAAACAUUAAUUGUAAGAGUUUAAUUUUGAUAACUAUUAAUUAGGUUAUGAUUGUUUUAUGUUACUAAUUAGUUAAAAAUAAUGUAAAUAUGACUUUUAAAAGAUUUUUUAUAUUUAUUUUAUUAAAGCUCAUAUGUUAGGCAUUAUGAAGCUGGACAUCUCAGUUAAGCUGACACCUCAAUUAACAACCAACCAUUAUCUGCCACCACAUUAAAAAAUAUUAUUAAAAAAAAGAAAUGAAAUAAAAAAAAUAUGUGGAGACUAAACCAAAACUCAUAUAUUAACGAAAACGAGAUACAUAGGUAAUCUAUAUCUAUUAAUAAAAAAAAUACUAUAUGAAAACCUAUUAUAUCAAUGAAAAUACUUUCUAUGAAUGAAACCUAAUUUAACAAGUUUAUCCACACAUGCAUUUUCUUCACAAAAAAUGUAAGAAACUUUAAACCUGAUUUUCCCACAGUAGUUAAGACAAAUGUUCCACCUAUUACAAAAUAUCCAAGGAACAUUAGUCCUAGCAGUAAAUAAAGCACAGACUAAGGCAGAAUCACAUUCAAGCCAUAAACUAGUAAGAUCCAUCUUUUGAGCUUAUUCAAUAGCAUGUAUAAUUCCAUAAAACUCAGCAACCAAAACAGUCUGAAUAUCAAGGAAAACAAAGAAAUCACCAAUAAAUUUCUCCAUACUUCCACAAAAAAUACUACCACAAGUAGCAAGACCAGGAGAACCCCUAACAACACCAUUCGUAUUUAUAUACCCAACAUGGAAAAGAAAAAAAUAAUUUGUAUAUUGAUAAUAACAAAACUUAAUAUAUAUAUAUAAUUAAAUUAGAAUAAUGAUGUAAGAUUAUAAUGUAAAUAAAGAAAGCACAUGUUUACUGGAGAUUGUGAUUUGGGAAUAUAAUUUUAAAAUUAUUCUAUUUUUAGUAAAAAAAUAUCUUUUUAUUGUUAUUUAGUGAAGAAUUUUCAACAUAUCAACACUCAUUAAAUAUUAAAUUAGAGAAAUGUUACUUUAAAAAUUUUACAUUGAACAAGUUAAAUUUACAAUUAUGUUUUGACUAAUGCAUUUUCAAAAUUACUUCAUUUCAAAAAAAAAAUAUUUCUCUUUUUAUAUGUAAUUUAUUUUAUCAACAAAGAAAAAAUAAAUUAAAUGAAGGUAUUUCAAGAAUUUAUACAAAAUACCAUUUUAAUCUGUAAUACACUCUAAAGACCAAAAAAUCCUACAGUAUAUCUAAAAGAACUACUUAUAUUAAUCCCAAUACUAAAAAUUAAACUAUAAUAUAUAUAUAUAUAUAUAAUUUUCAUAAUACACAUAAAAAACAACUUUACUCAUAUGAUUGUACCUUGUAUUCUACCUUAGCAUAUGCUCCUUUAAAUGAUAUACAUUACAAAAACCCUUCUUCUCUUCGUACAUGUAUAAUUUGAUAGAAGAUUCUCAUCAUAUCAUCAAUCAUUCAUAUUUUGUCCUCAUUAGAUUUCAAUAUCUCAUAAGAUGAGCUGUUUUGGAAUUAGAAGAAAUUAAUAAUUUUAUGCAAACAAGUUUUUUUUUUUUUUAAGUUAUAUUUUAUUUUUAGUGUCAACUUCAUGGUGUCAGGUAUGAUAAAACAUGUCUUGGAUGGAGGGUCUCCAUUUUUAUUGCUCUAAGAUUUCGAAAUCUCAUAUGGACCAGAUGCAAGCUUCUCACUCUUUUUCAACAUUUAAUAUAACAUAAAUUAAUGUAAGUACAUCAUUUUUUUUAAAUUACUAAAUAAAUAAAAUAAAUUAUAUAUAAUAGUAUUUUUUUAAAUAUUGAUGGAUUUACGGGAUAUAUAUAUAAUAAAAUUUAUCAGUAUUUUUUAAAAUAUAUUAAUUUGACCUUAUAAAUACUGAUAGUUUGUAUAAAUUUUAUUUUGAUAGUCUAAUAAAUUUACUGAAUUAUAUCAGUUAUAUUGAGUUUAUUCAAAUAUUAAUAAUAUAUAUAUAUAUAUUCUAUAUUAAUUAAUUAGUCAAAAACUAUAAAAAAAUAUUAACACCUGAGUAAUUUUUAACUUCUGUGUAAAAAGAUAAAUUGUGCUUUCCUUUUAUAAACUCUUGCAGAAAUUUCUAAAUUUGUGUAUCUGUUUUAUUUUUUUAACUCACGCUCGCCCGUCACUAAAUGUGUAAGAUUAAUGGAUUUUUCUUUUGUUUAUCUAUUUCUUUUGUAGUAAAAUAUAUAUUUUAAAUGAUAAAAUAUUAUUACGGAGUGAACUUUAAACUUAACUCAACCCCAUAAAAGCAGCUCAUAGGGUUGAGGUUUGCACCCACUUAUAUACAAUUAAAGGCUCUAAUCUCUAGUCGAUGUGGGAUCUCCAACACACCCCCUUCACGCCGAGACUGCCAACUCGAGCGUGGGACUAUAUAUUAUGGGUGGUCCGAUAGCGGCCGGCACGAUAAGCCCAACAAAUACUCGCUAGGAUAGGCUCGAAAACCUCUGAUACCAUGUUACGAAGUGGACUUUAAGCCUAACUCAACCCCAUAAAACCGGUUCAAUAAGGUGAGGUUGAGGUUUGCACCCACUUAUAUACAAUGAAAGGCUCUAAUCUCUAGUCAAUGUGGGAUCUCCAACAUAUAUUUUUUUUGUAGUAAAAUAUAUAUUUUAAAUGAUAAAAUAUAGCUUUAUAAUUUGAAUUAAGAUAUUAAUAAAUAACAUUUUCUAGAAUACAAUAGAAUGUUUGAUAUAUACCAAACAAAAACAAAGACACAAAAAGAAAAGAAAAUAAAAACUAAAAGAAAAUGGGCCAAAAGUAAGAAGCCCAAAAUAAAAACAGAUUACAAAAAAAGAAGAGCCCAAACACAUUUAGUUUAUCAUAUAUAAUUACGUAUGUAUACAUGUAUAGAUAACUAUGUACAAAUUACGUACACAUACAUUAGUAAGUAAUUAUGUACGAAUACAUGAACAGCUAAUUAUAUAUAGAUACAUUCGUAUAUAAUUGCAUACUAAUAAAUUUAUAGGUAAUUACAUUUUCGGAAAGUCUUGCAUUCUAAAUAUACUACGGAUUAAUUAACAUUUUUUGGAAUUUCAGUAAAAACAUAUAUUUUAUAUGGCUUUACUCAUUCACAAUAUUCAUGAAUAAACUUUAGAAGCAAUAAUUCACAAUGAAACGAAUAAAGUCAUAUAUUCACCAAUAAUUUAUCAAUAAUAAAAGUUCAAAAAAUAUAUAACAUCUAGGUUCAAAUAAGUAUAUAUUAUCCAAACAUUAUAAAAUUUCAUCCUAAUAAAAAAAAUUGCAAGCACCAUAAAGAUCUAGUGAAUGAAAUGUAAUUUAUUGUGAUGGUGAUUCUUUGCAUUGAAAAUAUGUAUUAUUUUGUAUCAUUCUCUGAUUAUAUAGAUAUUGUUCUCAUACCUCAUAUUUAAAUUAAACUAAUCAUUUUAAGUUCUCUUGCUCAUGUAAUCACUAUAACUUUAGAAACAUUAUCAAAACUUCGUUCUUCCUAAAAUCAUUUUCACCUUUCAAAUUUGAACUUCUUUAAAGGAUAAUUUGAAUCAAUCUUUUUAACGUUAAUGUUUAUGAGUAAGAACAAAAUGAUGUUUAACAUUUGUAUUCAGAAUCUAGAAUUUAAGAUUUAGGGUUUAGUUUAUUGUUUCUACUUUGUUAAAGCACAAAGUUAUUUUAUAACCUUUUUAUAGAUUAAAAAAUCGAAGUACAUAUAUGUUGACGAGACCAUGAGCACAUAUAAUAUAGUAUCGGAUAUCGUAAUUUUUGUCCAAAAACACCAAAUUUAACUGCACAACAACACCUGAAUCAAACUGUGUUUUUCAAAGUUUGCUCAAUUUAUUAAAUAAUCUGAUAUGAAGCAUAUGAGUAUCUGACACUUCUACAACUAUGACUAUUCUCUCAAUAUAUUAUAUUAUAAACAUAAUAUUCUCACGAAAAUAAACAAUAUAUAUAACAAUCACAGUUAUCACUCUUAUUCCAUAUACUCCUUGUAUUAACAAAACCUGCAAAUUAUCCUACACAUUCAAUUUGAUUAUGGCUAAGAAUGUAUAAAUUUAUAUAUUACAACUAUAUUUUAUUAAAUAUAUGUUAUUACGUAUGAUGUUACUGAAGUGGUUAUACUCUAUGGCAUGGUAUUGAAUUAUGGAUGAAUGAUAAUGGUCCCACAUUUCAGCGUCACUCAUCGAACUGCAUGAAAAACGAGUCACACUUUGUCGCAUCCUUAUAUAUCUCACAUUCUAUCUAUGUCUUGCACGUACUUCUUCCACCACAACAUCAACUUUCAUUUUCUCUUCUCUCUCAUUCCCAUGGAGGAGGACUCCUGCAACAACAAUAAUUCCCACCUUCACAUGGUAACUCAACACACUCACUCACACUCAUCAAAUCUUCUUCAUUUCUUGCUCUUUCAAUCAACUCAUCCUUCUUUUUCGUGCAGGAAAUGGAUUUCUUCGACAACAAUGACUUCGACGAUUUCUUCUCCGACAUCAUCCUCCACCAGACGCCACCGCCCACGCCCUUCUCCUCCGGAAGCGAAAGCGAUCACUCCUUUCCCGCUUCCUCCUUCCUCCCCAACGCCGCCGCUAAACGCUCCUCUCCCAGGACUUACAUUCUCUCCUUCGAUAACUCCACGGUGGUGCCCGCCACUCCCGAACCCUCCGUCCCUUCUUCCCCUUUACCUGCCAAACGCGCCCUCAACGCUCAAAACCCCAAAACCAGACCCAAUCAAGGAUCCAAGAGAACCCGAACCUCUUCUCAGACCAUCGAUCACAUAAUGGCCGAGAGAAGGAGGAGGCAGGAACUCUCCGAGAGGUUCAUAGCACUCUCAGCCACCAUUCCCGGCUUGAACAAGGUGCUCUAAUCUUUCCUUCACUUCUUCAUUCACUCAAUUCAAUUUUACUCUUUUUUUUAUCUACAAAGAACCAAGAUAUUUCAUCAUAAACUUCUACCAUUUUCUAACGUAUCACUUAGUUCAAUUAUGUAUUCUCAAAUACAACAUAUAUUGAAAGCUUGAAUUCAUUUUCUAACCUAAAUCAACUGCAUACUUUACUAUGAUUAUCUAUUGGUAAUAACUCCUACAUAGGAUUUGACAUUGUGAACAUCCAUCUCUCCUUAUAUUGGUUGAUGAAAAGAGAUAUGAGAAAAGAAAAGAAAGAGGAAUCGUGUAAUUACAAAUACAAAAGAUGUUAAAAAGUGGUCACUUGAUUUUUAAAAAAUGACGGAAAAGGCUGCAAAUUUUCUGCAUGAUUAGAGUGGGUGUCUUGUUAUGUACAACCACUGAGUAAAAAGCACGUGGGAGAGUGUUGAAAGCAGAAGAUUACAAAGAAAUCUGGAGUCGUUUUAGGAAAGAAUAAUGGAAUGAUUUAUAAUUGUGAAAUUGGUAUGUAUAGACGGAUAAGGCUUCUGUACUUCGAGCAGCGAUCGAUUAUGUGAAACAGCUGAAAGAAAAGGUACAGGAGCUGGAGAAAGAAAGCAGAAAGAGUGCAGAAGAGACAGUGAUAUUGGUGAAUAAAAGCAACCCAAAUGGAAAUGAAGAGAUCACCAACUCCUCCACUGAAACCAACUGCAGCAUCCUUCCGGAGAUGAAAGCAAGAGUGUUGGGGAAGGAGGUUCUCAUUGAGAUCCACUGUGAGAAAGAAUAUGGUGUUGAGAUCAAAAUAUUGGACCACCUUGAGAAUCUUCAUCUCUGUGUCACCGGAAGCAGUGUCUUGCCAUUUGGGAAUUCAGCUCUCUGCAUUACCAUCACAGCUCAGGUAUCUUAUAUUUUAU
RNAcentral lists this long non-coding RNA (10252 nucleotides) under Phaseolus vulgaris (common bean). Its description in RNAcentral is "long non-coding RNA (PVUL_LNC000951)". The record is from RNAcentral. Lineage: Eukaryota; Viridiplantae; Streptophyta; Magnoliopsida; Fabales; Fabaceae.